AACCUCAUUUGUAGAUGGUUGACACAAGGCUUUUCCGAGAAUAGCUCUAUCCAUAGUACAUAUAUGAUCUAAGACUGUAAUUUUGUAACAAACAAAUUAUCAUUUAUCAAAAUACAGAAUAGAUUAGUUCACAUCAUCCGCAUUCCGCUUUGCCGAUAUGAUAAUAUUGAGAUAUCAAUUAUCAAUUUUUUCAAUUAGGUAAUAGGUAAUCUAUUAUCUUUUAAAAGUUUUAACUUUUUAGCAUAUUAAAAUUGAAGUACGGUAAUGACGUUAACCAACUAUGAUGCGUAAUAAACGUGAGAAAGAUGGAUUUUAAAUGGCUGAAGAGAUACCGGUUUUUUUGUAUCGGAGGAUCAAUAAUAAUAUGUAUUCAAAUUAUCCUGGCUUUUGUUUUUCUUUCUAUUCAAGAUUAUACUGCUAUUGAAGAGUUUUCACCAAAUUCUUUAAAUAGAUUGCGAAACACAGCAGAUUUUGGAAUUGGUGAUGAUGACGAAUCUAGUUACAAUAAUGUACCUAGUGGGGGAAGUAAUCGUAACAAAUUCCCUCUAGAUAAAGAUAAUAUUGUUUCAUCUAAUGAAGACUUUAGAGUCCUUCAACAGCGAUAUAACUAUAAGACUGAUAAUUUAAAAACAAUAGGAGUAGAUGAAUUAGGAUUUACACCACCAUGUAAUAUAAAUGGACGCGAGCCUGUAUCAGCUUUACAAAGAGCAAAGACUCAAGCUUGUAAACAGUUAAUAGCUAACAUAUCAUGUCUUAUGAAGACCAGUCCACCAUAUCCUCACAGACUGACUCAUCAAUGUCCUUCUCAUGAUUUGAAAAAUAUUAAAGAAUUAGGAUGCUACCGUGAUGGAAGAGAAACUAAAUUAUUACUAGGCUAUAAAACUACUUUGGCAUUUACAAAUUCUCAUAAUAAUUGUUUAGAUAUUUGCUUACAAUAUGGAUUUGUUUAUGCUGGAGUUGAAUAUGGAACUGAAUGUUUUUGUGGUAAUGAGCUUCCAGAAUGGGAUCUUAAACUUCCAGACACAUUUUGUGAUAUGAAAUGUCCAGGAAAUCAAAGUCAAAUAUGUGGAGGACACUAUACUAUAAAUGUCUUUAAAACCGGUGCUUCUAAAUUUAUCGCAAAAGUAGCUUCAGAACCAAUAUUAAUUCAAAAGCACAAUGAUUCACCUGUACGUAUUGUUUUUCUAUUGACUUUGAAUGGACGAGCUGUCAGGCAGGUUUAUAGGUUGAUCAAGGCGCUCUUUCAUCGUGAUCAUUAUUUUUUUAUUCAUGUGGAUGCAAGACAUGACUAUAUGUUUAGAGAGUUAUUAAAAAUUGAAUUAACGUUAAGCAAUGUCAGAUUAUCUCGACGAAGACAUUCAACUAUUUGGGGUGGGGCAUCAUUACUAACUACUCUUGUGGAUGCAAUGACUGAUCUUGUUCAGUCCUCUUGGGACUGGGAUUUUGUCAUUAACCUUAGUGAAUCUGAUUUUCCAAUUAAGUCAAAUGAUGCAUUAGUUAGAUUUUUAGCAGCUAAUCGUGAAAAAAAUUUUGUUAAGUCACAUGGUCGUGAAGUACAGCAAUUUAUACAAAAACAAGGAUUAGACAAGACAUUUGUCGAGUGUGAAGCAAGAAUGUGGCGUGUAGGUGAAAAAGAAUUACCCAAAGGCAUCGUUUGGGAUGGUGGUAGUGAUUGGUUGGCAUUAUCUCGGCCAUUUGUCAAUUACUUGGUCACUGGUGAUAAACUGAUUUCUGGCUUGAUGCAAUUUUUCAAGUACACAUUAUUACCAGCUGAGUCAUUUUUUCAUACUGUUUUGAGAAACUCUCCAUUCUGUAAUAGCUACAUAGAUAAUAAUUUACAUGUUACUAAUUGGAAAAGAUGGCUUGGGUGUAAAUGUCAGUAUCGUCAUGUAGUUGACUGGUGUGGAUGUAGCCCAAAUGUUUUCCGUUCUGAUGAUUGGAAUCGUAUUAAGAAUACUGAGAAAAAACAAGUAUAUUUUGCCCGCAAGUUUGAACCAGUCGUUAGCUUAACUAUUAUUGACAUGGUUGAAGUAUGGUUAUAUGGAAAUUAUCCCAAUGAUAUGAAAAAUCGUUUGAGUUACUGGCAAAAUGUAUACCAUUUUGAAGAUACUCAACCAGAACCCAAUGAAGUAUUGCUCACUAUUGGAACUAGUCUAGCAAGAACUGCUAUAAAAUCAUUUAAAACCCAUUGUCAUGUCCGUAGUACGGAUAAGCUCUUCCAAGUUUUCACUUACCAUUAUAAAGAUCAAUUUAAAGGUUUUUUAAUACAAUAUGAAGUAAGUUUUUCAAACAAUUCUUCCAAAGUAUUAAUUGAAAGUUGGUGUUGGCCAAAAUUACAGAAUGUUAUUUUAGUUAACAAAGAACCUAUCAAUAGAUUAAUGACUUUCAUGGUAAGCUCUAAUUUUGACCAAAAAGAACAAAUGUCUCACGACUUUAUCCACCUUAUUGGACCACACACAGAGCCAGUACUCAUUCAUCAAUGGGCUCUUGGUGACUUCAGUUUUAGUAUUACUUUUUUAUGGUUAAAUCCUUAUGGAGAGUUAGCAAAUGUAACGUCAGUAAAUAUUGAAGAAUCUGCAUUGAUAACAUUUGGAAAACCAGUAUUACAAAUGCCCUUAGAACAAGGAAUAUGGACUGUAUUAUUGAUUUAUGAAAACAAAACAGUGGCGUAUACACAAUUUUUAGUUACUUCAUUGCAGUCUUCCAGGAAUAAACCAAUGUUUUCUAGUCAUACAAGAUUUUUUAAUAAAGAUCAAAAACAUGAAAAAAAUGUUAAAGAUUGGGAAAAUUUAAUACAAUUAUUUAACAAUACAAACAAAUUUGAUACUAAAAGUAAAUCAAAUGAUCAUAUAAAAAUCAAACUAACUAGUUGGAUUGAUAGCCUAAUGAUCAAAUUUUAUAAUAUUAUAGAUACUUGUAUGGUUGUUCCCCGUAGAUCAGUUCAUAAUUGUGAACUUAAAGAGUUAAUCCCGUGUUCAGAAACAUCUUGGAGUUCCUAUUCACCUGAUCCUAAGUCAGACAUAAUGUCAAUUAAUAAAGAAACUGGGACUUUGAACAGAUAUUGAAUUUUAGACUGACAUAGUGCCAUAUCAUAAAAUAUUAUGCAAUUUUUAAUUCUAUAUAGAUAUUUAUAUCUAAUUUUAGACAGGCCCAUCUCUAGAACGGUCCCAUCUGGGCCUUGACCUGAACUCCACAUUCAUUACCCUCAACAUUAGGCCCCUUACUUAAAAGGUCCACCUUUAUUCUCUAGAAAUUUUGUUGUUUGUCCUAAACUUUACAGGGGCAGCCCUCAUUCUGGAUAUCUAUAUGGAAUUUUAACCUAAAAAAAUUUUUUUUAUUUUUAAAUAAUUUUUUUACCUAAUUAAUAAUAAAAUGUAUUGAAUAAGAUGUCUGUAUAUUUAUUUGUUUGUCAGUUUUAGUUUUUGAGUUCUACUUCAAUAGUCUAUUAAAAGUGUAAUGGGUUAUUUUAAAUUUAAAAAGUUACUAUUAGUUAAAUAUGAUGAACUACUAACUGAAUAUUUAUAAAUUAUAAAAGAAAAGGUAACUAACUAAAUAUUAUUAUCUCUACAAUCUUUAAAUGUUAUAUCAACUAAUAUAUUUUUAACCAACUAUUUUAUAAAAGAGCAUAAAACACCGAGCUCAUAUCAAUCCCAUCCCAGUGUCAUACCAUACAAAUCUGAUUAAGAUAUAAUGUUGAUGUAUGUAUUAUUUUGUGUAACAAAAUCUUAAUGGUUUUAUGGUGUAGGUACAUAUUAUGUUAUAUUGUCAGUAUAACUUAAUUUUGAUUACUCCACCUUCAAAACCAAUAUUGUAUUAUCAAUUGAUCAAAGUUUUAAUUUAUGUAUUAUAUUUGUUGUUUAGUCAUAUCCAAAUUUUUUUUGUGAUUUAACUUUUAUUUUCUUAAGUAUUUUUUAGAGUAUAAUAGAAAGCUCUACAUAUUUUAUACUUAUUUACAUGAACUUUUAGAUUUAAACCACAUAAUAUAUGUGCAUCACACAGGGGCGUAUUUAGAUUUUUUUUUUUUUGGAGGGGGGGCUGAGGUACUAACACCUAAUAAAAACUUGACAAUAUUAAACUUCUACAAUUCACAUCAUAUAGGCCCAUAGGCAGACUAAAAAAAUUUCGGGGGGAUGGUGCCCCCUUAGCCACCCCUAAAACUACACCUCUGUCAUCACAACAUUAUUUUAUUACCAACAGUGUUCUUUAUCAAUUGUCUGCUAUUACACUGAGAAGAUCACAACAGAGUUGCUAAAAUAUGCAAUCCAUGUAUAAGUGUUUUUAUUGUGAAUAGGGUUUCUUAUUAAUUAAUAAUAUUUUUUUUAUUUAUAAAAUUGAGUUACCUGAAUUAUCCAUGUUAUUAAUUGUGCAUAACUACAUAUCCAUUAAAAAUUAUUUAUCAUAUCACUACCUAUUAUUAUGUUUAAUUACUUAAGUAAGUAUAACACUAGCAAUAUUGUUGUUAGGUACUUUCAAAAUAUGUAUAAAUUUAAAUCAUGAUAAGUCAUUCAUUUUGUUAAUUUAUACAUAAUCGAUAGCUGUUAACUAUUUUGUUGUAGAACAGUUUGCUCACCUUUUAUGUUGUUACUAACUUAUGAACGUUUUUCUGUGAACAAUUAUCUAUAUUUUUUUUUAAAAAACCUAUUUGAUACUAUUUUUAUUUAUAACACAUCAUUAUGUUUAAUAAUUGAUUUGUUUUAUUGUAAACUACUUUGUAAUACAUGAUAAAUUAUUAUUGACUAUUUACCAUUAUGAUUGUGAAAUUAAAAUUAUGUAAACACUUGAUUCUAAUAUUUGUUCUAUUUUAAUGUAUGUAUAGUGGUGGUUCUUAUUUUGUGUUUAGAGGAAUUUCAAUUAACACGCCCCCUAAACUGGUUCUAAAUGGAUAAAAAAAAAGUUAGAUCUUAAUUUUGAUGCCUGAUCCCCGACACACUUUUACCUGACUAAAGUGCAUCAAAAUAAGGGUUUAAUGAAAUUAAUGCCCAACUUUGUGGUGCCAUAAUUCAAGAGUUGAGUGAAAAACGGAUUUUUGAUAAAAUCAUAUAUUUGGUAAUAUAUAAAAAAUAAUUAUCAUACAAUAUUAUAAAUUAUAUUUUAAUUUUAUAAGAACUAUUUUAGUUGUUGUUGUCACAUUGAUUUAAAU
RNA transcript from Adelges cooleyi (spruce gall adelgid), 5140 nucleotides. It is a transcript of the gene named xylosyltransferase oxt, with no coding region annotated. NCBI's taxonomy places the organism in Eukaryota, Metazoa, Arthropoda, Insecta, Hemiptera, Adelgidae. The record is from RefSeq and is a predicted model, not a curated record. The transcript has 17 exons.